GGAGGGUUGUUUUGUUUUUGAAAGACUGUACACAGCCAUUGAGGACAUGCACUUGUCUCUUCUGCUCUGAACUCCGUCCUCCUCCCCCGGCAGGAGGAGCGCUUCCCUCUGGAGCAGCGCAUGGACCGGACGCGGCGGCGCGCACCCCCCGUGCCCGCUCCCGUGACGCACAGAUGCCGGAGCGGUGGCGACAGGCGCGCUCGUCUCGGUGGGACUGAAGACCGGAGACGGGGGAGGGAGAGAAGAUCACCCGGGUUCGGCGUCCAUCGCGGGAGGGCUCAGAACCGCGAGGCACGAUGCUCAGAGCGAGUCCAUCCGCGGGCAGCACGACUUGAGGAAGAAGAAGCUGCGGGUCCAUCCAUCCAUCCAUCCAUCCAUCCAUCCGGACACUUUUUUUCUUCUUCUUUUUUUUUUUUUUUUACACUCUCGCCCCCUCUUCCCCGCGUCGAUAGGGGAGAUAAGAAUCCAGUUUAUUCAACCCCCAGUUCCACGACCACGACCGGCCGGGAGGGCUCUCUGUUCACGGGUUCACGAUGUGGAGCGCCGGGGUCCUGCUGCUGCUGCCGGGGCUGCUGCUGCUGCUCCCCGCGUCCGGCGAACUCCAGCAGGAGACGGAGACGCGGAGGCUGCCGCCGCCGGGAAAGUUGGACUUCGGCUACGUGCCCGCGGGACUGUACGAGACGCUGGCCCACUACGAGCCGGGGCCGAUCGGGAUCCUGUUCCACAUGGUGCACACUUUCCUGCACGCGGUGCAGCCCAACGCCUUCCCGCAAGAUCUCAUUGUGAAACUGGCCAAGGACAAGUUUGGAGCCCUUCAGACGGAAUAUCAAAAGCCAGAGAACAUAGUGCUGACCCUCCAGGCCAUCUACUACGAGAUAGGCUUCCUCGUGUGCGCGGCCGUCGGCCUGCUGUUCACCGUCCUGCUGCCGCUGGUCGGCCUCUUCUUCUGCCUGUGCCGCUGCUGCGACAACUGCGGCGGCGAGAUGCACCAGCGCCAGAGGAAGAACGCCGACUGCCGGCGCGGCCUCCUCGGAACGCUGCUCUUCUCCACCUCGCUGGUCAUCACGAUCGGCGUGCUGUGUGCAUAUGCUGCCAACCAGAACUUGAGCUCUCAGGUGAAGAACAUACGCCGGCUGGUCAACAGCAACAUGAGGGACCUGCACACCUUCGCAAAUGACACGCCAAUGCAAAUCGAUUACCUCAUAUCUCAAUACGCCACAGCCAAGAAGAAAGUCAUCUAUGACCUGAAUCAUAUAGGCCCGUUGCUGGGCGGCAGGAUACACGAUCAGCUGGAUAAGGAGGUCCAUCCUGCCUUGGACCGAGUGCUCAACAUGGCCGGAGUGAAAAUCGAGAGAACCAUCAAAGCCAUGCGAGAGACCAAGGAGGCCCUGGAGAACGUCAGCGUGUCUUUGGAGGUCCUCCAGGAGGGAACGGGCAAACUCAACUUCAACCUGAGCCUGGUGCGCGCCGGCAUCAACCGCACCCUCAGCGACCCCGGCUGCCACGACGAGAAGUCGGACGCCACCACCGCCCAGCUGUGCCGCAACAUCCGCCAGUCGCUGUCGCAGCUGCACAUCGGCGCCAACUUCACACGGCUACCCAAUGUGAACGCUCAGCUGGAGAAGGUGAACGACGUGUUGAGAACGGACCUCGGCGCCGUCGUCCAGAGGGGCUACUCCUCCCUGAACGACACGCCGCACAUGGUCAUCGAACAGACCAGAAGCGUCGUGGAGAACGUGCAGAAUCUGGUGGACGGCAUUGGCCAGAACAUCAGCAGCUUUUCCAAGGCGUUCCCGGUGCAGAGCACCCUGUCCAACUUCACCAUCCUCAUCAGCCACACGCACGCUAAGAUCGAGGACUACUACCCCGAAAUUGACAAAAUGGACUUCUACAGGUGGAUCGGCUGCAUUGGUCUCUGCUGCGUGGUCGUGCUGGUCCUGGCCUUCAACUACCUCGGCCUGCUGUGCGGCACCCUGGGAUACGACAAGCACGCCUCGCCGACGACGCGCGGCUGCAUCUCCAACACGGGGGGGACCAUGCUCAUGGCCGGCGUCGGCUUCAGCUUCAUCUUCUCCUGGGUGCUGAUGGGGCUGGUGACCGUCCUGUUCCUGGCGGGGGGGAACAUGGAGAAACUAGGCUGCGAGCCGUUCCGCACCAGAGAGCUCUUCAAGGUGGUGGACACCCCGUACCUGGUCCACCCCGAGUGGAAGAACUUCAUCCCCGGCUACAUGUACAACGACUCCGACCUGGAGCUGACAGCAGAGAGCUUGUACAGUACUUGCAAAGAGAACAAAGGCAUCUACUUGGCCAUGCGUCUGGACAAAGUGUUCAACAUCUCGUCUUUCAUGAACACCACACUGUUCACUAAGGAUGUGGUGAGUCAGCUGGACAGCGUCAAGAUCGACCUGCGGGGAAUAAUCCUGUUAGAGGCCGAGGGGAAGCAGAACCUCCUGGACUUCUCCGAAGCGGGGCUGGCGGAAAUCAACUAUGCCGACUAUCUGGAAGAGGUGAACAAAGGCGUGACAGUGGUCGACCUGCUCUCAUAUGCCAGAGAGCUGGAGGCGCAGACGGACCUCAUGCCCAGAGGCGCUCUGCAAACCGCCCUGAAAGGCCACAGCGGCACCCUGCGACAGAUCCACAGUCAGCAGAUCACGCCCAUGGAGCAGGCCAUGAAAUAUGUUAGAGCGCGGAGUGCGUUGAACCAGAGUAUGAGGUUCCUGGAGAGAACAGCCUCCGAUCUGCCUAACAAAGUCUUGGCGGUUCUCGAAGCCAUCGAAGCUGCUCAGUAUCUCAUCUCCCGGAAUGCCACCCAUCUAAUCAAUCAGGAGUCGGGAAAAUACACAGCGACCAUAGUUGGCUACUUCCACCAGUACAUAGAAUGGGUGAAAACAUCCCUGGCGAUGGAGGUCGCGCCGUGCAAGCCCUUCAGCAACAUGGUGGACACGGCGGAAAUCAUAGCCUGUAGUUUCUUGGUCGACUCCAUGAACACCUUCUGGAUGGGCCUGGGCUGCAGCACUCUCUUCCUGCUGCCGAGCAUCGUCCUGGCAGUGCGACUGUCCAAGCACUACCGCAGGAUGGACACCGAGGACGUCUACGACGACAUUGAGACAAUUCCCAUGAAAACUAUGGAAAUUGGUAAUAAUGGUUAUCAUAGUGAGCGCUCACAAGGUAUCCCAAAUCCUGCGAUGGCAAGCAUCCCGACCUUUGACCCCGUUAACAGGUUCCCGCGGGCCUCGGCUCCCCCGAGGCACAUCGACUGGUGACAGAGAGCCUGGCUCCUGAAAGCGUAUUCUAGUCUCUUUUUUUUCUUUUCUUUUUUGUUCUGCUCACAGUGACUUUGCAGGAAAACCAGCAUGUGCCCUCAAAAACUGGAGCUAAAAUACCAUGUGUUUCACAAUCCCUCGGACCAGACAAAGCUCCACGAAAGCCGCCUUCCUCACAACGGAAGAACAACACACAAAGCCAUGCAGGUUAUCUGCAGCGAUCGAGUCGACCUGAAGUACACCUGCCGUACCUGCUCCCCGACGGCCCCUGACCUCCUCCGAGAAACUCUGCCUGCGGGACACAAAACUCUUCUCCCUCAGCGUCCAUCUGAGCCAGGCUUGCUCUGCAUUUAUUUUUUUUAUUUUUUUUUUUCAAAGGACUGCUGCGUUGUCUGCGUUUACAUUUGUUCAGACACAAAAAAACCAAGCCUGAAAAACACACCGGGCAAGAGGACAUGACAAUAAAGUGUGAUGCCUGUUCAUUUUGACGUACGAUGUUUGUGCUCCAGAGGGGACGGGACGGUCCCCUGAAGGCCACGUCAAGCUAGAUAUUUCUUUUCUCCUCCUGCACUUAAAACGGAUGCAUCGUGCAAAUGUAAAAAAAAGGGAAAAAAAGUGGAUGACUCAAACAAAGUGGUAAAGUAUAUAAAGAAAUGGAGAAAGGAAAAAACCAGGUGGUUGCCGGGUGGAUUUUUUUGGCGGAUUACUGUAUGGAAGGAAUUUAGCAUGACUUUUAAAAAUGUUUACAAUAUUAAGAAACAUGUAGAGAUUGACACCUAUGCUGGUUUGGAGCGCUUUGCAAAUGACUGGUUGCCUUUCAGAAGAUAGUCUCACCCUGGCAUUUUGACAGAUAUAUAUAUAUAUGCUCAUUUAACAAAAGGGGAAAUCCACCACCACUAUACAGUAGAUGCUCUUACACUGUUAAAAAUCAACAGUCAAUUUUUUUUGAUCACCUUCACAGCAAUGUUUUACAGCAAAAUGUCAAUAUGUCAUUUUCUUUUUAGAAAUCGCUAAUAUAUACAUCGAUGAGCUGAAAGUCCAAAGAGUGAUUUUUUUUUUUUAGACUUCUGUAACUCAACAUCCUGUCAUCAAACUUUGGCCAAUCAUCAUACUCCGAUAAAACGCCCCCACAUACAAUUACAAAUAGAUACCAAAUGUAAGCUACAUCCCUGAAUAGUGUUCUUUUUAACAGUGUUGGUACUUUGGGUGGGUUUUCCUUUUUAAAUCACACGAUAAACUCACAUUAUCACAUUAUGAAAGUGCGAGGCUUUUUAGAUUGUUCCUUAGGUGAUGGAUUGAUUAAAAAAAACAAAAAACGAUCACGCUGAUUUCACUAACAUGUCAUUUUUACUGAGCUCUGUCUUGCUUUCAUAGUGGUGAUACAUUAUUAUGACACUAUCAAGCCAAAUCCUUUUUUUUUAACUUUAGGUCUCAGGUCUUUACUGGUCUGACAGUUACAGUUGCUAAUUUUCUCUCUGCUUGUUAAAGCCCCACAGUAGCUACGGAUACAUUUGAAACCAUGGAACAAAUGAAUGUAUUCAAACGCUAUUUUCUAUUUUGUAUCGCUUGAUAUGACUGUCGGCUGAGAAGUUUGCUGUAAAUCUAUACUCGACUUGUCGGGCAAGCCAGUUCUCUCAUCCACCGCGCCUCCAUGUUUACAGGUUAGCUGCUGUCCGCGUAGUAAUGAUGGUGAAAGACUUAUUAGACAAUCCAUUCAUGGGACUAAGGGAGCACUGCCAAUCACAACGCAGAAACGAAGAAAGAAGGAUUUAAGGUUUGCACGACUGAUGGCGUCGAUGCCCGCUGUGGAAAAUAAUGUCCAUCUUAACAUUGAACUGUAACAGUGCAACUGCAAAAUAACAACUGACCUGCAAUACCAAUGAUACUGGAAUGAAAGCGUUAGAUUUUAAGACAAUAACUUAGCAAAGUGAGUAGGAUUUUCUUUGUUUAAUAAAGGGCUAACUUGCUUUUGAAAUAAAACUUUGAUUUCACUUAGGUGGAUCAAGUUAUUGAUUGGCAUUAAAAAUUGUUGGAAUUAUUUAACCUCUUAUGACAAUAACCUUGUGUCCAUGUAACUGAUCCAGGCCAGUUAGCUUAGAUAGCUGCUACUAAGCUAACCAACCUCUGUGCUUUAAAUAACCUUCAACUUGUUCAAAUUUAAUUUUUAACAUAUAUUACUUUGAUAUUACAAAUUUAUCUAUCCCAUGAAUUCAACAGAACAGUUUUUAAUAUUUUUAAAUGUGUUUUUUUUCCCUAGCCACACCAAUACACAAGUCACCACAUGCCUGGCUAGCUAGUUGUAGCUCCAGUUAGAACGUUUGUAUAUCAGAGGAAUAAUAUUCAUCUUAUCACCACAAGUUUGGAUUAUAUAUCUGUUUGAUUAAAUCAGUACAACAGAAAAAAAGUUAGCCUAACUACACCAUGGUUUACAAAAAAAUCUGAUUUUAAGUUGAAUUACGUUAAAAAACCAUUAUAGAAAUGGAAUAAAUACAAUUAGCUUUGAAUUUUUUGCUCUAUAUUCAAUUUUAAGAAAUAACUGCUGCUAGUUAUUUGAUCCACCAAUGCUUAUAUCAUUUUUACUUCUCAUACCUUUUCCUAUUUCAUGUAUUUUUGAUUACACAAACACAAUCCAUGCUAGUUAGCUAGAUGCUAAAGCUUUAUUCACAUUUUACCACCAUUUUUCAUCACAAUUUAAAGACCUAGCUCAAAAAAGCCUAUUUAGCACAGAUUGUUUUGGGUACAUACAUUUUUGGUCAUAGCUUAGCUAACUUACUGCUCACUGUUUUACAUAAGCCUAAAGCAGUUGAUAUUACUACACGAUACAGUAUUUUAUAAUAGUUGUAUUUACACAACAUAUCGAACUACACAACCCCUAACUCUGUGAAACUAGGAAAUCUUUAUCUUAGUGUUUUGUAAGUGUCAAAACAGCCUACAUUGGCAUGAGAUUAUUUUCUAAUGCUUUUACUGUGAUUUCCAGUUUAGUUGUUAAGAUGGAUAUUUUUGAAGCAGCUGUGUGCUCAGUUUGACCGGACUAUUUCUUGUCUGCUAGAGUCUGGAUGUGACCCAUGUGGCCCAAGGGGUAUGAUUUUACUAAGUGCUUAAACACGAUCUUGUGUGUCCAAACCUUGGACGUAUGCUGGCAGGACAGAUUCACAGUGGUCACUGGUUUGAACUGUGGAGCUCUGCAGCCUGGGCACUGAUGGAGCCACGUAAAAAGGAACCUCCUAUAUAUGGUGAUGAGAGAAAAAAAUAGUGUACAAAAUUGUGAAUAAACGUUGGCUUUCAGUUUGA
RNA transcript from Scophthalmus maximus (turbot), 6554 nucleotides. It is a transcript of the gene named prominin 1a, with no coding region annotated. Lineage: Eukaryota; Metazoa; Chordata; Actinopteri; Pleuronectiformes; Scophthalmidae. The record is from RefSeq and is a predicted model, not a curated record. The transcript has 31 exons.